RNAcentral lists this long non-coding RNA (3437 nucleotides) under Manihot esculenta (cassava). RNAcentral describes it as "long non-coding RNA (MESC_LNC010912)". The record is from RNAcentral. Lineage: Eukaryota; Viridiplantae; Streptophyta; Magnoliopsida; Malpighiales; Euphorbiaceae.
CCAACACUCUAAAACUUAAAAGAUAAAGUAUGGCCAAAAUACAAGCCCAAACAAUGCUAAAAUAAAACAAGUGUUAAAUAAUAAAAAUAUAGCAAGCCCAUCAUAACAAAGCUGAAUCUUCACAAAAGCCUUACUUGAUCUUCACUUUAGGCUUCCCUUUGUGUAGUUUUAGCCCAUAGAUUUGAUUAGGCUCCCUAAGCCUAUGAUUGCAAGUGUUGCACCAAAUCUGUUCCAUAUGAGUUGAAGCACGCCCCAAAUAUAUAUGGAUCAUAUGAAUAUGAUUUUGAACUCCUUUUAGAUCCAUUUGAAUGACAUAAGUUUGCUCCACACCAUUGUCAGAAACUUGCCCUAUUGGAUCCGUAUCAUUCUCUCCUUCUUUAGAAAAGAUUCGUCCUCGAAUCUUGCUGAUAUUUAUGUCAAAAAGGAAAGCUUUAGGAACCCAUGUAUCUUCAAAGACAUCCUUUUGAAUCGGUGGAAAUAGGAUAAAACUCCCGUCAUGAAUGUUUUCAUUAACAACCUGCACAUCAAGAACAAAUGAACUAGGCAUACAAAUAUUAGUCAUAGAAACAUCAUGUGGAUGUGACCCAUUCUCCUCUACAACUUCCAAAACAGUCUCAUUCCCCUCCUCCACCUCAUCAAUCACGUGCUCCCCAUGUCCCUCAUCAUUCACAACCUCUUCUAUAAGUUCAUUGAUGGAAUUCUCAACAACAACUACAUUAGAUUCAUGCAUUACAACUUCCUCUUCAACUUCAAUCUCUAUGGAAGUUGAGAUUGGAACUUUAGCCUCUUCUUUCUCCACCUUCCCUCCUUGAACUAGUCUUGAUUCUUUUCCAGCCUCUUUACCCUCAAACUCUCUCUUUUCUCUCAUCUUUUCCACAAAAUUCAAGCUCUCACGCCCCUUUGUGGCCAAGGCCGAAGCCUCCCUCUCCCUCUCCAGCAUCUUUAUUUGAUACACAUAUACCUCUUGAGGUGAUAAAGGAGCGAGUAUAACCUUCUGUCCUUCAUGAGUGAAGGAGUACUUGUUAUUGAACCCAUCAUGUUGCACCUUUCUAUCAUGUUGCCACGGCCUACCCAACAACAUAUGGCUUGCCUGCAUAGGUACCACAUCACACAAUAUCUCAUCCUUGUACCUACCAAUAGAAAAUGGUAUAACCACCUGGCGUGUAACCCUAACCUCACCACAAUCAUUCAACCAUUGCAAUCUGUAUGGCUUAGGGUGUUCAAUAGAAGCCAAGCCCAAUUUCUCCACCAUAUACACACUAGCCACAUUUGUGCAACUACCUCCAUCAAUAAUGAGAGUACACACUUUUCCAUUAACCAAACACCUAGUGUGAAAUAUGUUUUCCCGUUGUUCUAGGCUUUCUUUCUUAACCUGCAUAUUCAGAGCACGCCUAGCAACAAGCAUCUCAUAAUGUGCAGCAAGCAACACAUUAUUAACCAACACAUCCGAAUCAUCACAGUCAUUAUUGCAAUUAGGAGUUUUUUGAGGUAUUCUUGUAGAAGUGGAAGCUUGUGAGACAUUUAAACUCUCCAUAGUUUCAGUCAACCUCUCAAGAGUCUUAUUGAGCCUUUGUAACUCACCACUGACCGAUUUCUUAAAGAGCUUAUAAUCGUUACCCAUAUUCGAUUCACUUCUAUCAGUACAAUCCACCACAUUCUUGUCUUUACUCAUCCUUUCUUAAAUCAACAAAGAACAAAAAGAACUAGCAAAUAUUGUGUUAGAAAGGAAAGCACUCAAGUGUCUGCACACUUACCACUCUUUUGCUGAUUCUUCAAUUGCACUUCAGAAAAUAAGGUCAACCAACUAACCACAAGGUGCGUUUAGUGAAACAAAGAAGAAAUCCUAAAGAAAGAAGGAAGCGCGCAAAAACUAGAAAGAAGACACUGACAAUUUGGAAAGUAACACACAAACUAGGUGUUGUGCUACUUGAAAAAUAUCACCUAGAGUAUGACACAAGCAAACAAUACUCCAGCAAUGUCAAGGAAGUAAAAGCAAGCUUAAACCAAAACGAAACUUUGAAUUCAAAUAAAAACGAAUCUGGACAAAAGUUUGAAUUUAAUUCGCUUCAACGCAAAUUAAAUACGGAUCUAUUUAAAUCUACCCAAAAAGGCAAGUAUAAAAACCCUACAAAUAGGCUAAAAAAAAAAUAUCUCACUCAGUGCAGCAUCAUGGACGAAAAUGGGCAUUAAAAGAUGGAUUUGACACCAAAUUGAUUUAGAUGCAGUUGCCUUAAAUGUGCACUUUAAGAAAUAGGCAGGUUUGUUUUGUCUCCUAAUCCGGAUUCAACGCAAUUCAAAAUUCAAAAUUGAUUUCCAUAAACUACAGCAAUCAAUUAAGAUAGGCAAGGAAAUAUGGAUGAAAUAGGAAGCAUAUCACAAUUUCGGAAAGAUCAAGAUAAAUAUGGCAACGGCGAAUUUUUUUUUUUUUCGUUUUUUUUUUUGUUUCUUUUUUUUUUUUUUUGGAUUUCAAAUUUUUUUUCCCAAAAGAGAUUAUGUGAUAAUUUAUCAAGAAGGUGCAGUCAUGGAUACAGAAGCUUUCAAUGAAAUCAACAAGAAAGACAAGGAAAACUCGAAAAAAGAAUCUAGAUCCUGAGAUAAAUAAGAAUUUACCUCACUUUGGCUCUGAUACCAACUGACGCGGAACCCUAUGGCACAAGCCUCAAACCCACACGCACAAGUAGAUAUGGAAUCCAAAGAUUUGAUAAACCCACCUCCUAUGGCACCCCAAACUUAGAGAAGCUGAAACACCAAUAAUCGAAGGAUUUAGAUGAGAAUCUGACAAACGCCACAACGAAUAGUUGAUAAGUAAGCCAAGAUUCCUGGUGCAAUUGAUGAAAGCAAAUCCUCACUCUCACUCAAAGCAAUACACGCCAAAGGCAUGAAAAUAAUUCUGAAAUUUUUUAUUAAAAGCCGACUCUUACAAUUGUUUCUUAUCCUUAUAUAGUAAGGAGAAAAACAAAUAAAACCCUAAGACACUCUUCUUGGACCUGACUUAAACACAUAAGGCCCAAGCCCAAUCACACACUAAAAUAACACAUAAGUAUUAAAACAUAAGCCCAAAACAUGACCCAACACUCUAAAACUUAAAAGAUAAAGUAUGGCCAAAAUACAAGCCCAAACAUUGCUAAAAUAAAACAAGUGUUAAAUAAUAAAAAUAUAGCAAGCCCAUCAUAACAAAGCUGAAUCUUCACAAAAGCCUUACUUGAUCUUCACUUUAGGCUUCCCUUUGUGUAGUUUUAGCCCAUAGAUUUGAUUAGGCUCCCUAAGCCUAUGAUUGCAAGUGUUGCACCAAAUCUGUCCCAUAUGAGUUGAAGCACGCCCCAAAUAUAUAUGGAUCAUAUGAAUAUGAUUUUGAACUCCUUUUAGAUCCAUUUGAAUGACAUAAGUUUGCUCCACACCAUUGUCAGAAACUUGCCCUAUUGGAUCCGUAUCAAAAG